UGCAUAUAUGUCUGUGCACCACGUGCGUGCC
Molecule: non-coding RNA, 31 nt
Filed under: Mus musculus (house mouse)
Lineage: Eukaryota; Metazoa; Chordata; Mammalia; Rodentia; Muridae
Also listed under: 1 other name
Source: RNAcentral